RNAcentral lists this ribosomal RNA (787 nucleotides) under uncultured archaeon. RNAcentral describes it as "bacterial SSU rRNA". It matches the Rfam family "Archaeal small subunit ribosomal RNA", at positions 112 to 879 of the family's 1478-position model. The record is from RNAcentral.
ACCGCUGGGGGGUAAGAGAAACCCCGGGAACUGGGGCUAAUCCCCGAUAGGCGAAGACCCCUGGAAUGGGUCCUCACCCAAAAGGUGUUACAGUCAUGCUCUGUAAUCUCGCCCGAGGACGGGGCCGCGACCGAUCAGGUAGUUGGUGAGGCAAUGGCUCACCAAGCCUAUAACCGGUACGGGCCGUGGGAGCGGGAGCCCGGAGAUGGGCACUGAGACAAGGGCCCAGGCCCUACGGGGCGCAGCCGUUGCGAAAACUCCGCAAUGCACGAAAGUGUGACGGGGCUACCCCGAGUGCCGUCCGCUGAGGAUGGCUUUUCUCUGCUGUAAGGAGGCGGAGGAAUAAGGAGAGGGCAAGUCUGGUGUCAGCCGCCGCGGUAAUACCAGCUCUCCGAGUGGUGGGGAUGAUUAUUGGGCUUAAAGCGUCCGUAGCCGGCCUUUCAAGUCUCUCGUUAAAUCCAGCGAUUCAAUCGUUGGACUGCGGGAGAUACUGUUUGGCUAGGGGGCGGGAGAAGCCGACGGUAUUCUCAGGGUAGGGGUAAAAUCCUAUAAUCCUGGGAAGACCACCAGUGGCGUAGGCGGUCGGCUAGCACGCGCUCGACGGUGAGGGACGAAAGCUGGGGGAGCGAACCGGAUUAGAUACCCGGGUAGUCCCAGCUGUAAACGAUGCGGGCUAGGUGUUGGAGCGGCUACGAGCCGCUUCAGUGCCGCAGGGAAGCCAUUAAGCCCGCCGCCUGGGGGAGUACGGCCGCAAGGCUGAAACUUAAAGGAAUUGGCGGGGGAGCAC